Molecule: ribosomal RNA, 522 nt
Filed under: uncultured microorganism
Description: bacterial SSU rRNA
Rfam family: Bacterial small subunit ribosomal RNA
Source: RNAcentral
GAGUUUGAUCGUGGCUCAGGAUGAACGCUGGCGGCGUGCCUAAUACAUGCAAGUCGAGCGAACAGACGAGGAGCUUGCUCCUCUGACGUUAGCGGCGGACGGGUGAGUAACACGUGGAUAACCUACCUAUAAGACUGGGAUAACUUCGGGAAACCGGAGCUAAUACCGAAUAAUAUAUUGAACCGCAUGGUUCAAUAGUGAAAAACGGUUUUGCUGUCACUUAUAGAUGGAUCCGCGCCGCAUUAGCUAGUUGGUAGGGUAACGGCUUACCAAGGCGACGAUGCGUAGCCGACCUGAGAGGGUGAUCGGCCACACUGGAACUGAGACACGGUCCAGACUCCUACGGGAGGCAGCAGUAGGGAAUCUUCCGCAAUGGGCGAAAGCCUGACGGAGCAGCGCCGCGUGAGUGAUGAAGGUCUUCGGAUCGUAAAACUCUGUUAUUAGGGAAGAACAAAUGUGUAAGUAACUAUGCACGUCUUGACGGUACCUAAUCAGAAGCCACGGCUAACUACGUGCCAGCCG